AAACUUUUUUAAAAUCCCUUGUAAAUCUUUUAAAACCCUUUUAAAAUCCCUUGUAAAUCUAUGAGUUUUAAAGUUUACAAGGAUUUUUAAAAGCAUUUUUUUGGCGGAGAAAAAAUUUGUUACGAAAAAAGUUUUUGGCAGGAAAUUUCUUUUUUUGACGGGAUUUUUUUUUUUUGUCGGGAAAAAAGUUUGGCGGAAUUUGUUUUUGGCGGGAAAAUUAAACUUGGCGGGAAAAGUUUCAGUUUCCAAUUACAUGUUCCUAUUAGAUAAGGGUAAUUUGGUCAUUCUGUUCAAAGGAAGGGGUGUUUUUAAAAAUGAACAACAUAAAAAGGUAUUAUUGCAAAAAGGUAAUAAAUAAAGGGUAGUUUUGCAAAUCUCCCUUAUUAAUUAUAGGGUUUAUUGUACCUUUUAUAAAAAGGUGAGGGUUUAAAAAUCCACAAAAAAGUUGAGAGUUUUUAAUAUGUUUUUAGGGAAAAAUCCCAAUUAAAACCCAAACUAGUUUAUUACCCAAUACUUUUAGAUUGGAAUAAAAAUACCUCAUCUAAUAAAGUAUUGCCAAAUAAAACCCAAUCUUUUAAUUAUUACCCAAUACUUUAGGAUUUUUUCCCUAUAUU
Molecule: small RNA, 614 nt
Filed under: Arabidopsis thaliana (thale cress)
Lineage: Eukaryota; Viridiplantae; Streptophyta; Magnoliopsida; Brassicales; Brassicaceae
Description: ATSL154750
Source: RNAcentral